UACGUAGGGCGCAAGCGUUGUCCGGAAUUAUUGGGCGUAAAGAGCUUGUAGGUGGCUUGUCGCGUCUGCCGUGAAAACCCGAGGCUCAACCUCGGGCGUGCGGUGGGUACGGGCAGGCUAGAGUGUGGUAGGGGAGACUGGAACUCCUGGUGUAGCGGUGAAAUGCGCAGAUAUCAGGAAGAACACCGAUGGCGAAGGCAGGUCUCUGGGCCAUUACUGACACUGAGAAGCGAAAGCAUGGGUAGCGAACAGG
RNAcentral lists this non-coding RNA (253 nucleotides) under uncultured bacterium. RNAcentral describes it as "partial 16S ribosomal RNA". It matches the Rfam family "Bacterial small subunit ribosomal RNA", at positions 524 to 776 of the family's 1533-position model. The record is from RNAcentral. RNAcentral also lists the same sequence under 3 other names.